This 780-nucleotide unclassified non-coding RNA is filed under the name Hevea brasiliensis (rubber tree). The record is from RNAcentral. Lineage: Eukaryota; Viridiplantae; Streptophyta; Magnoliopsida; Malpighiales; Euphorbiaceae.
GCACUGUUUGCAAUUCUCAUCCACGUACAAACACACUUCCUCGAUAGAAUUUUUCAGAUGGAUGGAGAGCCCAUUAUUCGAAAUUAGGCAGGGGACAAGACAAGGACCUUGAUAUUGAACUUCUUGCACUGAUAUGUCGACACAAAUCACAUGAUUUACGGGGCUUUGUUCAUACAUAUAUAUACGUCAAGACUAGCUCAUGUGUACCUCCUUACAACCGGAGAAUAUACAACAGGCGGCAUUGCCAACGAAUGCGAGCCCCCACCCUGUAAGUAGUUGCAUGUUUAUUGUUUGUUUCUUUGGUAAAAAUUUUUUCAUAAUCACUACUCAUCUUAUCUUGAGUUAAAUCUCUUACCCAGCCGAAAAGUGUUAAUUAGUGAUUGAUAAGAAAUGCACAAACCAACUAGUGUGUCUAGUGUGCACGGUUGACCUUGCUCUCAUCAAGAGAUCAAUUAAUAGCCAUUCAUAGAGGUAUUGGUGCUGGAUCAAUCAUGUAACUUCAUAACACAGAGGCUUUAGUCAUCUCUUCUGAUAACAGCAAAGAGAGGCUUAGUGGGUCCUUUCCAGGAUUCUGCAAUCUUUUGAUGUUUGUCUGGUAACAAUUUGAAGUGUCUGAUGGAUCGGCAUUACAAUAUACUGUCAGGUGAAAGCGAUGUUUAUAGUGAAGGAGAGAUGAUAGAAUCAUCAUCAUCUGGAAAACUAACUAGAACUGAAAUAGAUAGAAGCUUGGUUAUUAGCAGAUUCCUUAGUUACUACUACUGUGCUUGAAGAUAAUUAAAA